This 449-nucleotide ribosomal RNA is filed under the name uncultured bacterium. RNAcentral describes it as "partial 16S ribosomal RNA". It matches the Rfam family "Bacterial small subunit ribosomal RNA", at positions 354 to 796 of the family's 1533-position model. The record is from RNAcentral.
GUCGAGAAUCUUUCACAAUGGGGGCAACCCUGAUGGAGCGACGCCGCGUGGAGGAUAAGGUCUUCGGAUUGUAAACUCCUGUCAUGCGUGAACAAGGUUGCUUGGUUAAUACCUGGGCAAAUUGAUGGUAACGCAAGAGGAAGAGACGGCCAACUCUGUGCCAGCAGCCGCGGUAAUACAGAGGUCUCAAGCGUUGUUCGGAAUCACUGGGCGUAAAGGGUGCGUAGGUGGCGUGGUAAGUCAGAUGUGAAAGCCCGGGGCUCAACCUCGGAACUGCAUCCGAUACUGCCAUGCUAGAGUACUGGAGAGGUGACUAGAAUUCUCGGUGUAGCAGUGAAAUGCGUAGAUAUCGAGAGGAAUACCAAAGGCGUAGGCAGGUCACUGGACAGUUACUGACACUGAGGCACGAAGGCCAGGGGAGCGAACGGGAUUAGAAACCCCUGUAGUCC